Long non-coding RNA from Entelurus aequoreus (snake pipefish), 1167 nucleotides. RefSeq lists it as uncharacterized. The transcript is spliced from 3 exons. NCBI's taxonomy places the organism in Eukaryota, Metazoa, Chordata, Actinopteri, Syngnathiformes, Syngnathidae. The record is from RefSeq and is a predicted model, not a curated record.
CAGGCAGGGUCUUGAUCUUGAAUGGACUAAAAGGGUAUGCAGACAUGAGACCAGGAAAAAUAAUCUGAAUUACCUUUUUGACUAUUCCUUACCUUCGAGGGACUUCCUGCUUGGCAUACUUGACACUCACUGUGUACGGGCCCUCAAUGGCAGGGGUGUAGUUGACCGUGUAAUACCCACCACCGUUGUCUUUAACACUGACAGGCUCAGUGAAACCUAGAGAACCAACAGAAGUUCAUCUUCUGUUUAGUGACUGGUUUGUGACAUAAUUGGACACUUGACAAAAUCAUUUUUAAGCAGACUGACAACAAUUUAAACAGGCCCAUGUUCCAGAUUGUCACCUGUAGGGCCAAAUAUCUGGACUUCUAAAGGGGCUACACCAGUUUUGCUGCUGUCCACUGUGAAAGUCUGACAGACGUGAGCACGAACUCCACUUCCAAGACCAGGCCCAGAACACCUCACCUUAGUGGGAUCAAUCAGCUCUCGCACUGUGACCCGAAAUGGACUUCCUGCAAAUAUGAGUGCUGUUGUUUAAGCCAGUGAACUCUGUACGUCCCCAUGCUGGACUUCAGUCAACUCAAGAUCGAGCACCUUGAAUUGGAAGUCCUCCAAAGGACAUCUUUGCCUCAGAAGGGCCCUCGAUGGCAAGGCCAAGACCACCUGUGCCAGCACCCCUGAGGAGUGCAGGACAGGAAGGAGUCACAAAAGAAGAAAAAACAGAGACAGUCACAAAAGAAGAAAAAACAGAGGCGGAAGAGAUCAACAAUCAACAGGCGGCUAUGAUGGCAUCACACACACUUCAUCAAUCAACUAUUGAUGACAGUUACUACCACUACUAUAUUUAGAUAUCAUACCUGAUCCAUGACGAGUGGUUUAUGGAAGCAACACGAUGGAUAAGUGAUUCCGCAAGAGGGCUAUGAAGUCACUUCCUGUUAAGUCAAGAUGACAGCGAUGACCAAUAUAAAGUUGGCGGCCUCAACCUUCUGAGUGAUGUAAAGGGAAGUCAUCAUUUCUGCAGUAGAAAAAGUUAAGAUCAUCCGCAGGUGAGUGCAAGCAGGUCAACAAAAAGAGUGUGGCUAUACCUGCUCUACACCAGUACCCAAUCAAAACUCCUACGAGGGUGUGGAGAAGAACAUGACACGUGUCACUUCUUGUCAGCCAAUCAGG